Molecule: ribosomal RNA, 460 nt
Filed under: uncultured bacterium
Lineage: Bacteria
Description: partial 16S ribosomal RNA
Rfam family: Bacterial small subunit ribosomal RNA
Source: RNAcentral
CCUACGGGAGGCAGCAGUGAGGAAUAUUGGUCAAUGGGCGCGAGCCUGAACCAGCCAAGUCGCGUGAGGGAAGACGGCCCUACGGGUUGUAAACCUCUUUUGCCGGGGAGCAACGGGCGCCACGUGUGGCGCCACUGAGAGUACCCGGAGAAAAAGCAUCGGCUAACUCCGUGCCAGCAGCCGCGGUAAUACGGAGGAUGCGAGCGUUAUCCGGAUUUAUUGGGGUUAAAGGGUUCGUAGGCGGAGCGUUAAGUCAGUGGUCAAAUUGAGGGGCUCAACCCCGUACCGCCAUUGAAACUGGCGCUCUUGAGUGGAAGAGAAGUAUGCGGAAUGUAUGGUGUAGCGGUGAAAUGCUUAGAGAUCAUACAGAACACCGAUUGCGAAGGCAGCUUACCAAGCUACUUCUGACGUUGAGGCACGAAAGCGUGGGGAGCAAACAGGAUUAGAUACCCUAGUAGUC